This 253-nucleotide ribosomal RNA is filed under the name uncultured bacterium. RNAcentral's name for it is "partial 16S ribosomal RNA". It matches the Rfam family "Bacterial small subunit ribosomal RNA", at positions 524 to 776 of the family's 1533-position model. The record is from RNAcentral.
UACGUAGGCAGCAAGCGUUGUUCGGAGUUACUGGGCGUAAAGGGUGUGUAGGCGGUCUACUAAGUCUGGUGUGAAAUCUCCCGGCUCAACUGGGAGGGUGCACCGGAAACUGGAAGGCUAGAGUGCGGGAUGGGAGAGUGGAAUUCCUGGUGUAGCGGUGAAAUGCGUAGAUAUCAGGAGGAACACCUGUGGUGUAGACGGCUCUCUGGACCGCAACUGACGCUGAGACACGAAAGCGUGGGUAGCAAACAGG